This 226-nucleotide long non-coding RNA is filed under the name Elaeis guineensis (African oil palm). Its description in RNAcentral is "long non-coding RNA (EGUI_LNC056025)". Lineage: Eukaryota; Viridiplantae; Streptophyta; Magnoliopsida; Arecales; Arecaceae. The record is from RNAcentral.
CACCAGUGACACCUAGCAGUAUGUAGUGGCAACCUAGUAGAACUAAAAAGAAUCUCAAUAUAUAGUUAACAUGUGAUUCAGUCUCUCUAUCGUGAGUCUCGACUAGAUGGUAGGUCAUGGAUAAAUUAUCAAACCUCAACAUCAGUCAUAUGAUGAUUCAAUUAGCUCAAGUCCAAUUAUGAUUUUCAUAAAAACUCUUUUCCAUCAAUCAUACUGCUAUAGCCAC